Molecule: long non-coding RNA, 1807 nt
Organism: Myotis myotis
Lineage: Eukaryota; Metazoa; Chordata; Mammalia; Chiroptera; Vespertilionidae
Exons: 3
Source: RefSeq, a predicted model, not a curated record
AAGUACUAUAUAAAAUUUUAAAAUUUGUUGAAAUAAAUUAGAUUGCAAUCAUUUCAUCAAGGCAUGAAUUUUCUUCAGUGUGUUGAAUUUUGGAUGGUUUAUUACUGUAAAAUAUUGCUAAUGCUUAAAAAAGAUGUGUACAAAGAACAUUAUAAGGUCCAUUUAAAAAUAUCCAAUGAGACAUAAGUAAAUAGAUGAUAUUUCAUAUUUGUGGAUAGAAAAUUUUAAUAUAGUAAAAUUUCCAAUUUAUCUAUAGAUACAGGGAGUUUUCAAUUCAAAUGCCAAAGCUUUCAUGGAAUUUGACAUACUGGUUUCAUAAUUUUACAUGGCAGAGCAAAGACCACAAAUAGCCAAGAUAUUCCUGGAGAAGCAUAAGAUGAGUAGAAAUAUCCUGCUUUAUAAAGCCUUAAGGGGUACAUAAUGUGUCAGUGCAGGGAUGGAUUAGUUACCUAAUGGACUAUCCAGGCUUGUUGGCUCCUUUGUCAGACUUUUGAACUACCGUUUCAGUCUGUUCUAUUGUUAUAUGCUAUUUGAGUUUCUACUUUUUGAGUUAGUUUUAUAAACAUAUUUUCCCAGGAAUUUGUCAAUAUAUUCUGUUUUCAAAUCUACUGUUAUAAAUUAUCAGAGUAUUAUUUUAUUGUCAUUUUGAUUAUUGCUAAAGUUGUGUUUCUUUUUUCAUUACUAAUGUUGAACCUUUGUGCUAUUCUUUUCUUUAUCAAUUUCAUAAGACAAUAAGGUAUUUGACAAUUUCAUUGGUCUUUGCAGAGAACUGACUUUGGACUUGUUAACCAUCUCUAUUGCAUUUUGAUUUUCUAUUUAGUUAUUCUCUAUCCGUAUCCUUAUUAUUUCCUUCAUUUUUAUUUUCUUUGAAUUUAUUCUAUUGCUACUUUUUAUAACUUAAGUGUGAAACUUACCUUAUUAAUUUGUAGCCUUCUUUUCUAAUAUAAACAUUUAUGCCUAUAAAUAUCCCUUUCUCCCCAGCCUUUGUUUUAUCUCACAAGUUUUGUUAUAUAAAAUUUUCACUUGUUCAUUUAAAACAAUCUUAUCUCGACUCAUAAGUUAUUUGGGAGUAUUUUUAAAUUUCAAACUGUAUGGGGAUUUUUAUAAAAUAUGUAUUUCUAACAACCCCAUUUUUGUGAGGAUUAAAUGAAAUAAUGUGAGAUUACAGUGGACAUUGUUAGGGUUCUAUAACUCUAAAGUAUUGCUGCUAUCCAUGAAUAUUCCUAGCAUUUAUUUAUCACUUGCAAUGUGCCAGGAGCCGUGCUUGUUAGUGGUGAAGUUUGAAACUAAAAGGUGCUUCUAUUCUAGAGACGGCAGCAAAGGUGAAGCCCUCAGCACAGAUCUCUGAGAGGCGGUGAUGUUAGGGAAAGCAGUUCUGGGCCAUCAGAGGAAAUGAGGGGCAAGCAGGGUAUCCAAGAGGCAUCCACACCCUGGGUUUUUCUCCAACCAUAAGGAAAAUGGAUGCAGCUGUUUCCGAUAAGGAAAAGAAAACAUACUUCUUUGUAGAGAACAAAUACUGGAGUACAGAUUUGACGAAAACAGCCAGUCCAUGGAGCAAGGCUUCCCCAGACUGUUAGCAGAUGAUUUUCCAGGAGAUGAGCCGAAGGUUGAUGCUGUAUUAGAGGCAUUUGGUACAAAGACACUCGUUUCAUUGCCAAUGGGGACACGUUGGGGCAUUUUAUAUCAAAAUGAUUUGGAGAAUCAAAACUAUUGCAAACUAUUCGGUCUUAUGUCUUUUUAAGCCAAAUUAUUGAAAACUUUGACUUUCUAAUUUAUGCAGAUUAGAUUAAAAUUUGUUUUUCUUGAA